Molecule: long non-coding RNA, 525 nt
Filed under: Felis catus (domestic cat)
Lineage: Eukaryota; Metazoa; Chordata; Mammalia; Carnivora; Felidae
Description: lncRNA (ENSFCAG00000046085.2)
Source: RNAcentral
AUGGCAUAUUUGCAGCAGAAUGGCAUCCAGAAAUCAUUGUAAUUGUGCCAGUAUUUCAUGCGCUUAUUUAAGAGUAUUUUCUGUUCAAGGAUUUCAAAACACUUCUCUAAUGGUACGGAGAAAAGUCAACAUGGUAGAGAAGUAGGGGGACUCAAAUUUCCCUUGUCUCUCAAACACAGCAAUGUUGAGGCCAGAAGACUUGGAAUUCCAGGAAUGUGGACUACAAAUGACAGAAACAUCUCCAGGGGCCAUGUGGACAACUUGGCAGGCCAUAGCAAGCUGGGGCAAGUUCAUCUAACACCUCCUUUGAAGACCAGCAGAUGUUUCAUAAAGGGUCUAUACGUGGGAGGUCUAAGUACAGAGCUUGACUGUGAACUUUCAUCAAGCAUGGAUCUGCUCAGUAACAUGUGAAGCAAGAACUGUCAUUGUCCCAGGAACAUGCAGCAAAGACCAAAGAUUGGGUGAAACUCUUUUCCUUCCCUUCCCCAGAGUGGUGCUCUCAUAAUAAAUCAAUUCUUGCUUUCA